Long non-coding RNA from Pseudophryne corroboree (corroboree frog), 2988 nucleotides. RefSeq lists it as uncharacterized. NCBI's taxonomy places the organism in Eukaryota, Metazoa, Chordata, Amphibia, Anura, Myobatrachidae. The record is from RefSeq and is a predicted model, not a curated record. The transcript is spliced from 4 exons.
CGGGGUAUUUAAAUAGUUGUGCAGCUGCUGGCAAUAGGUAUGCAGCACAGGGAUGACUUGGACUCCAGGAUUUCUGUAAGUGAAACAGGAUUUGCUUCAUACCUGCUUAUCUGGAGGAAGUGUGAUUAGACAUUAUACCAGCCUUAUUAUAUGAUGGUGAUGUAAUUGUCUCGCAUUGCCGGUCUUGAGAAAGCUUCGUCAUCGAACCGAAACGUCGACACCAAGGCUUUUUUCGAUGACCAAUAAAAUUCUCCAUUUUUAUGGACUGAUUGGUAUUUCUGCGUGAGUGCACUCUCCACAUUGUGGAAACAUUGCUAUAUAUAUAUAUAUAUAUAUAUGCAGAGAGUUUCAGGCGGCACUCACGGACUCACUCACAAAAGACCGGGGACCCCCAAGUCUGCUUACAACGUUUCGGAUUCAUUAUCCUUCGUCAGUUUCCAUGGUGACUGACUUCACGUAGCUCAGUGUUCCUGCUUCCGCCCGGCGCCGUCUGAUUGUGAUGACGUCAGCGGAAAUACAGGGGGGAGCCGUGCACCGAUCACACUCUCACGUUUUGCACUUUGGUAUAAAGGCACAUAUCCAAUACCAUGAGGCACCUAUGCUUUGGCACAAGUUCACCACCUGAUCCGUCACCCCUGUGCAGGAGCCAGCAACCGGAGCUGUACAGACCAGCAUGACCCUGCAGCAAGUCUCUGCCACAGCUCCCCCUCUGCACUGAUGGCAUUCAGAGCCAUCCAGCUUUGCAGCGGCAGUUAUAACACAGAACGGGAGCACGACUAAAGCUUAUCUGCACUUACUACUCUGUGAGAUCAGUUAGUCCAGGACACAGAGCACGGGAUUCAGGUACCAGAAACAAUGGAGGAAAGGUGCCCCCUUCAGAGCUGAAUCCCAUCAGCAACUGCCUCCAUUGCCUCCAGUAGUUCUGCCCCUGUGUACAAUUAAUAUGCUAAUGCUGCAGGAGACACCUGUAGGAAAAAGACCCUGGGUUCGGCACGCCUACAAAAUGGGAGAAACGCCCCCAUUUUGUAGAAUGUCCCUUUGCCAUCUCAGCAUGUCAAUCAUGCUGCGGCUGAGGUGGAACUGCAAGCGAUCAAGUGAUCUUAUGGGCAAUACACACUUAGCGAUUACACUGAAAGAUAUGAACGAUCUCGUUCAUUAAUGAAUGAGAUAUUGUUCAUAUAUUUUCGUGUGUAUGCACGAACGAUAAACGAUGCGCGGCCCUGCACUCGUUCGUCAUUGGUGCCAGGUCGUUUAUACAUGCAUGCCAAUAUGGACAAUCUCAUCCAUAUUAGCAUGCAGGGCUACGGGGCCGGGUGACGGGGGAGUGAAGAAACUUCACCCCCUCCCCUCCGCCGCCAGGUCAUCCGUCGGCCGUACCGGCCGCCGGGCACCUCAGCGGCAAAUCCGCCAGUAUGUAGGGCACAAUAGCCACUUCAGCUACAAAUACUUCAUGAUUUUAUUGCAUUACAUUCUUCUUACCUGUCUUUACUGUGACUGCAGGGCUGCUAGAACCAUUCUGUUUACCAUCAAAAGCAAACACACUCAUCUCAUACACUGUGCCACAUAGUAGGUUCAAGAAGAAGCAGUAGGUGUCCUUGUUUUCACAUUCUUCCUUGGUGCCAUCUGGGGCGAUGGCACUGGCAGUAUAUUUCACAGCAUUAACAACUGGAUUCCAAUACAGGCAAACAGUAUUUAUAUGGCAAUCACGAAUCACUGUUACAUUCUGUGGGGUACAAUCAGCUGUAAACAGAAAAAAGACCUAUGUUUUAUAUGAAAAAAAACAAUGUAAGAAGAACAUGUGGAAUAUUGAAAUUCUAGACAUCCGUUUCCCCUAACCUAUAUACAGUGUAUGUGUAUGUAUGUAUAUAUAUAUAUAUAUAUAUAUAUAUAUAUACAAACAUACAGGUUGAGUAUCCCAUAUCCAGAUGUUCUGAAAUACGGAAUCUUUUGAGUGAGAGUGAGAUAGUGAAACCUUUGUUUUCUGAUGGCUCAGUGUACACAGACUUUGUUUAAUUCACAAAGUAAUUAAAAAUAUUGUAUUAAAUACCCUUCAGGCUGUGUGUAUAAGGUGUAUAUGAAACAUAAAUGCAUUCUGUGCUUAGACUUGGGUCCCAUCGCCAAGAUAUCUCAUUAUGGUAUGCAUUUAUUCCAAAAUACGGAAAAAUCCGAUAUCCAAAAUAUUUCUGCUCCCAAGCAUUUUGGAUAUGGGAUACUCAACCAUUAUAUAAUAUAUUUAUAUAUAUAUAUAUAUAUAUAUAAUUUUAUUUUAUUAUUUUGUGGUGGAGUGAGCAUCAUAUCAGAAGUGAUGCUUUGCAAACAGUAGUAUACUCUACUUCUAAAUACCCAUUAAAUAUCCAUUGGACGCAGCAGUCACAUUUUUUCUCACAGCCUCCUGAGGUGCAAGAAAAACUGUAAAUAGUCCAUAGCUUGGGGUUCUAAAGCACCCUAACCCAGACUUCAGAUGCCCAAAUGAGAACUUUAGAGGCACAUUAAAUGCUAAUGAGCGUCUGGAGUAACAAUUAAAUAGCUUGUUCAUAUAGAUACGCAUAAGGGGGUGCGGUGCACAAUUGAAUCCCUUAAAAAAAUGUUUUUUUGAGAAUUAAAGGACUUCCUGUUUGAACAUGAGAACUUUCUUGAUAAAGUACCCGUGUGGUACGAAACGCAUUGAAAGCAAGACCAAAUAGAGGAGAUUAUUAUUCACACCAGCACCGGAGCAGUGACGUCACCACCGGGCAGUAUGAAAUACCUGAGUGCCAGAUGCACUGAUCCCUAGGAACAGUCCUAUUACUAUCAGAGACAACGGCUGGACGUAUAUGGGACUGUGUAUCACUGAGCAAACUCUUGGGCACAAGAAGCUCCGCAAUCUUACCCCUAAGGGGCUAUAAUCAUCUAACUUAUAUGUUUAUUUUAUUUCUUUAUUUUUAUGAGAAAGCAACCGCUGUAAAUGAUACGUAUCUUUUUUCCUAAAUAUAGUAUGUACAUGUGCAA